This 76-nucleotide transfer RNA is filed under the name Planctomycetota bacterium. Its description in RNAcentral is "Planctomycetes bacterium tRNA-Pro". It matches the Rfam family "tRNA". From Rfam's summary of the family: Transfer RNA (tRNA) molecules are approximately 80 nucleotides in length. Their secondary structure includes four short double-helical elements and three loops (D, anti-codon, and T loops). Further hydrogen bonds mediate the characteristic L-shaped molecular structure. tRNAs have two regions of fundamental functional importance: the anti-codon, which is responsible for specific mRNA codon recognition, and the 3' end, to which the tRNAs corresponding amino acid is attached (by aminoacyl-tRNA synthetases). tRNAs cope with the degeneracy of the genetic code in two manners: having more than one tRNA (with a specific anti-codon) for a particular amino acid; and 'wobble' base-pairing, i.e. permitting non-standard base-pairing at the 3rd anti-codon position. Lineage: Bacteria; Pseudomonadati; Planctomycetota. The record is from RNAcentral.
CUGGGUGUGGCACAGUUGGUAGCGCGGGUGCUUUGGGAGCACCAGGUCGUAGGUUCGAGCCCUACCACCCAGACAA